RNAcentral lists this ribosomal RNA (817 nucleotides) under uncultured archaeon. RNAcentral describes it as "partial 16S ribosomal RNA". The record is from RNAcentral.
ACGGGCGGUGUGUGCAAGGAGCAGGGACGUAUUCACCGCGCGGUAAUGACACGCAGUUACUAGGGAUUCCAUAUUCAUGAGGGCGAGUUGCAGCCCUCAAUCAUAACUGUGAUAGCGUUUGAAGAUUGCCUCCACCUUUCGGUUUAGGAACUCAUUGUCACUAUCAUUGCAGCCCGCGUGUGGCCCCAAGGUUUCAGGGCAUACUGACCUGCCGUGGCCCCUUCCUUCCUCCACAUUAACUGUGGCGGUCCCGCUAAUUCGCCCCACUACUCCUGAGAGUAAUGGUGGCAACUAGAGGCAGGGAUCUCGCUCGUUACCUGACUUAACAGGACAUCUCACGGCACGAGCUGGCGACGGCCAUGCACCACUUCUCAGCUUGUCUGGUAAAGUCUCCAGCUUGACCUUCAUUCUGCUGUCUCCUCGGGUAAGAUUUCUGGCGUUGACUCCAAUUGAACCGCAGGCUUCACCCCUUGUGGUGCUCCCCCGCCAAUUCCUUUAAGUUUCAUACUUGCGUACGUACUUCCCAGGCGGCAAACUUAACGGCUUCCCUGCGGCACUGCACUGGCCACAAGCCAGGGCAUCACCGAGUCUGCAUCGUUUACAGCUGGGACUACCCGGGUAUCUAAUCCGGUUUGCUCCCCCAGCUUUCAUCCCUCACCGUCGGACGUGUUCUGGUAGACCGCCUUCGCCACAGGUGGUCAUCAAUAGAUCAAAGGAUUUUACCCCUUCCUACCGAGUACCGUCUACCUCUCCCACUCCCUAGCUUUGUAGUAUUUCCGGCAGCCCAUACGUUAAGCGUAUGGAUUUAACCGAAAAC